GUUAUUCCAACAAUAAAAAAACUAUUCAUCUCAAUUAAUACAAUUAAUCAAGUGAAUAGUUUUAUCAUAUUUAUAAUCUUGUACGUGAAGAUAAUCUAAUUGUGAAAUAUAUAACUAGAACUACUAAUAAUAUCCAU
RNAcentral lists this small RNA (137 nucleotides) under Staphylococcus aureus. RNAcentral describes it as "HMPRFS0000_0678". Lineage: Bacteria; Bacillati; Bacillota; Bacilli; Caryophanales; Staphylococcaceae. The record is from RNAcentral.